Long non-coding RNA from Peromyscus eremicus (cactus mouse), 4568 nucleotides. RefSeq lists it as uncharacterized. The record is from RefSeq and is a predicted model, not a curated record. The transcript is spliced from 3 exons. Lineage: Eukaryota; Metazoa; Chordata; Mammalia; Rodentia; Cricetidae.
UCAGAGAUCCACGUGCCUCUGCCUCUCAAGUUCUAGGAUUAAAGGUGUGUGCCACCACUGCCCAGCAUAAUAGAGCAUUUUAAAUGUUAAUUUUGAUCAUGUUGCUUGAACAACCCAGUUUACAACAUGGCUAACCAAAUUCUCAGUAAAUCACCUCUGAGGAAGAAUCAGAUCUUUUUUACUCAUUAGCUAGACCAAAAUCAGGAGUGUGUACAGUGUCAUAAAAAUGAACAUAAUUAGGAAGAUUGGAGCCCAGUACUAUAAAAAAAAUUUGGAUAAAUAACUUGGUCAUUGUAGUAAAAUUCUAAGAUCAUAAAUAUUUAUCCUUAUGAUGCUAAUGACAAAGGAAAUUGAACAUCACGAAAGUGAGAGACGUAAAGGCACUGGACAGUCUAAUCUAUUACAUAUGGGAAGCAUUACAUCUGCCAGAUCAUCUUGUGUCUUAUAGUUUUUUCUGUCCCCUGAAUGACUGCUUGCUGAAAAAAGUGUCUCAAAUCCCCAGAGAACAGAGACUACAUCUCCUGGACACAAGCUCCCCAAGGUGUGUGACAGCCUGAAACAAUGCGAAUAUAGUGAACAGAUGCUAGCUGAAUGAACCAGAUGUGGAUAAUGUUCUUGAUGGAUUCUUAUUGAUUGAGGAAAAAGGGAUAACACCAGCAAAGAGUGGACACUCUAAAGGAGGAAGGCAGUUUAUUGUAGUGAAACUGCACUGAAGUUUUAUACAUGACCCCUCAAUGCAUACAACAUCACUUUACUCCACACUGUUGCACAAGACACCACUGAACUGCAGAGGCUCAAAGUGCUCUGCAUGAGUUAAUUCUGACACAACACAUUUCCACCGCUCCACCCACAUUCCAUUAGAUAUUGAAAGACCUCCCCCCAGCCUCUGACAGCUCCCACGUGGUGCAUAGUGUCUUUCCGUGUACUUCCUUCCACUAUGCUAGUUAGUUGUCAGAAGCCUGCUUAGGAAAACCGACUUACAUGAGAGGUUCCGACAUUUCUACCUACACGCAGCUCUUGGAAAAUGUGAACACUGGCAAGACAUCUGAGGUAACUAAGAAAAGUAAAGAUAGUAGAAACAUGCACCUGGGGACGAAAACCAGCAAUAUAUAGAGAGUACAUAAAUGCAUGCAUGCAGGGGUGUAUGUAGACGACACCUCUUUCAUCUAACAUCUUGUCUAUAGUACAUUUUAGACAUUACCACAUAUUGCACAAACCCAGAUAUACACACAAUCUGACGUGUCGCUGUGUAAGCCAUCCUCACAGAGGAGAGCUCUACACAACAUUCUGAAUGAGCUUAUUCAUGACUUUUUGGAGAGUAGAAUUGACAGUUCUCUGUGCAGAAAUAUAUUCACAUACACCACAAGUUAGCCAUGGUACAAGGUCUCCUUUCCUAAAUGUAGGAUUCUUUAGCACACUGGAGUUGGUCAACCUCAAAGACCAUGUGUUGUUGCCUGAGACAGUCCAACUUAGCCUCCUGCAUGGAUUCAGACACGGUCCUCAGUCGGUGCAGCUCAGAUCUCCCCCGAGUUUCCACAGAGACACAGACCGUCUGACUCUGUUUCCAGUGCUCAGUCAUGGGAGACAGUCUGUGUCCACCAGGUGUCCCUUCACUGUGGUCACCUCCAAGGCGAGAAGGCAGAGCUGUGUUCCAUUUGAGCAUUCUCGCUCUCAUACUGGCAACCGUCUGGCCACCGUAGGCUGUGAGUCCAGGUGCCUGGUAAUGAAUGGCCUCUUCGUACGAUGGUGGACUUCCUGGCUUCCUCACAUCCACUAUCUGGAACACGUUAUCAACCGAGAGGGCCCAGGUUCUAGACAAGCUAAAGCCCAGAGUUGUUUGGCUUUGGAUUUCUGACUCAUUUUCCUGGAUGAUUCUGCCAGCAAGCUGGCUUUCUUUUCUGAAACUCUUCCUGAUUUGGUCUCUAGCAAAGUCUUUGGAUUUCUCAGACCCCAUGCUGGAGGUCCCGGGCAGCACUUUUUUGUGAGACGUAAAGGAAAAUGACAUGGAAUGCUUUCUAAUUUCCCUCUGGGGUUUGAUCUUGUCUGUCUUUGUGGUGAAGCUCUGGUGUCUGGUGAAGAAGUUUCUUUUGGGACAGGAUGGAGAAGGCAGAGGUGAGCUGUCCAAAGAUUUACCUGGGGAGACUCUGGAAAAUGCUCUGGGUACCAGUCCCUGUGAUGGUGCUAAACCUUGGGUCAAGUUCUUUAUCUUUAAAUCCACUGGUCUCUUGGGCUUGCCUUCAGCUGCCGGGAAGACUUCCUCUGUAAACGGAUCUUCAGCCUCCUCACCCUCUGAACAAGAGGCUUCCUGGGGCAUGGUGAAGUUAUCCUCACUCUUGGUUAGCUUUUGUUUUCUCAUUUGGCCCAUGAGGCACUCUUGUGAGGGUGACAUGUUGGGUUCAGAGAACCGCCUAUCUUGCUGGCCAAUGGAGCUUUUCAGCCUGGCUACCAUGCUAACAAUGGGUUCUGAGCUUGACUCACAGGUGUCCUGUGGGCCCCGGGUAUCCAGGCCAGCGGGCCCCUCCAGCUGCCUGCUGGGAGAAGUGGUGGCACUCAUGGGCUCCACAUCUGGGUCAUUGCUGUCGUAAGCUGAGUCAUUCUGCAGAGUUGACACAUCUGGGAAGAGUUAAGGCGGAGGUGAACAUUUUAUCUAGGCUCUUUCAGCAACAGUAUUUACUACAGGCUGCCCUGUUUAGACCUAUGGUGAUUUGGUGGAAGUGCAUUGGGGCUUGAUCUGACAAUACAUUGAUUACAUUAAAACUUUGCUUCUGUCUAAAAUGAUCUUUAAAUGGCGAGAAAAUGGGAAAAUGAAAUGGAGGGAGGAGGAAGGGAAAGAGAUACAUACGAGGAAAGGAAGAUGGCAAUGCCAAUAUUCUUUAAGGUUUAUUGAUCUGAAUUCAUAGGAUUGAUCCUUUGGGUAGCUCUUGUAUUGGACCAAUUUCCAUUUUAAUGGACUCACAUUCUACUGCAGAGCUGGAACUUCCUUACUCCAACACCAUAACUAAAGUUUACUAAGUAGAAUUAAGAGUCAUUGUAGCUUAGAAUAGGAAGGAGAAAAUUCCAGAUUGAUGAGAAAGAAUGUAGCGGGAGGAGGUGUUGCGGGUAAAUCUAAUCGCAAGGCCUCAUGGUUAACGACUUCCUUACAGACUUCUGACUUGUGCAGGCGAAUCCUGCUUCCAGUACCAGGGAUGCCUUACAUCAAUUUCUGGAUCAUCAGGGACUGGCAUGGGCUUCUCCCCAGAACCACAAGCAAGUGACAGAACGUUCCGUACCUGAACUGUCAGUGUGUUCCAGGGAGUCGUCAGAAGUGAUGCGGGAAUGUGUCGGCAUGUUCUCCCCAAAUAUUUCAAAGCAGUUGUCAAUGAGGAAUUCCACCAAUGUCUUAACCUGUGAGGAAAAUAAUUUAGAGUUCACUGUGGAGUUUUAUAAACAAAACAAUCCCUUCCAAGUUGCUCUGCUGUGCAGUAAGUGUUUAUGAGAGAAGAGUGGCUGGCACAAGGACACCAGUUGAUGAAGUUAAGGCUGUGCUUCCUAAACAACUGGUUUAUGUUUUUACAUAUUUUGUACUGAAAAGUGGAAGACAGACAAGAACAGUGAGGCUCAUCCUGAUACUUUGGGAGGAGUGAUCAGAUCUGAUGCACACUGUAAUAAAACAUGUUAUGAAAGAGUAUAAGAGUGGAUCCUGAUCUUACUGAGAUCAGCAACAAUUGCCCAUGAACUAACUCUUAGUGAUUGCAGUCUCCACUAAAGAAGGAAGCAAGUGGUGGGAAGAACAGUGUGUGUUUCUCCAGUGUGUGCAUGCUCCCAUCCUCAGGCCGGCCUGGUUGGAAACCCCCUGUGGAGCUGGGGCCAUAGGCUGCAGACAGUCUUCCCUCCUACAGAACCUGCUGUUCUAGUCAAGGGUUAAUGUUCUGCGGUCUCUCAGAAUACUUAGAAAACAAAUUCCUAGUAAAGUAAAAGCCCUGUGGUUUUGCAGACCGAGAUCGCUAGUUGGGCUCACGGAAGAGAGCAGUAUGUUUUCAAAACUCACCAAUUAGCUGGCAGAUGCUGUCUUCACUCUCACAUGAUGUCAACAGCGGAAGGGCCUUGAUAUCACCCUGGAAACAUAUUGAAGUUAAAAUAGUGACCUAAGACAUGCAGACUCCCUCCACAAAAUGCACAGACAGCUUUUAUUCAUCUUAAAAAUUAAGACAAUUGCAUUGACUCUGCAUUCUUCUCAGGUCAACAUUAUUGCGGAAGAGCUCAAUCAAUGUGUCUAAUUUAUAAUCUGCUGUUCACUUUACACUGAUAAACAACCCAAACAUUCAACAAAAAGAACAUUUUCCAUCUUCUUACAGUGUAAAUCAAGUUAAAAACAUUACGUUCUUACCUCUGACUGACAUUCAAUCAACGUCUCCAUGUUAUUGGCACUAAGUGUUUUUGACUAAAAGAGAGAAAAAUAACAUCAGUGAAGGUCUCUUGGGCUCUCGUCUGUGGACAAGAUGAAUAAGUAAGUGUGAAGGACUCACGUACCUCCAGACUGCUUGUCAACUUCAUUGGAGAUGGGCCUGACAGUCCAAGGGGGCGUUUCA